RNAcentral lists this ribosomal RNA (510 nucleotides) under uncultured bacterium. RNAcentral describes it as "partial 16S ribosomal RNA". It matches the Rfam family "Bacterial small subunit ribosomal RNA", at positions 28 to 507 of the family's 1533-position model. The record is from RNAcentral.
GACGAACGCUGGCGGCGUGCUUAACACAUGCAAGUCGAACGAAGAGCGAUGGAAGCUUGCUUCUAUCAAUCUUAGUGGCGAACGGGUGAGUAACGCGUAAUCAACCUGCCCUUCAGAGGGGGACAACAGUUGGAAACGACUGCUAAUACCGCAUACGAUCUAAUCUCGGCAUCGAGGAUAGAUGAAAGGUGGCCUCUACAUGUAAGCUAUCACUGAAGGAGGGGAUUGCGUCUGAUUAGCUAGUUGGAGGUGUAACGGCCCACCAAGGCGAUGAUCAGUAGCCGGUCUGAGAGGAUGAACGGCCACAUUGGGACUGAGACACGGCCCAGACUCCUACGGGAGGCAGCAGUGGGGAAUCUUCCGCAAUGGACGAAAGUCUGACGGAGCAACGCCGCGUGAGUGAUGACGGCCUUCGGGUUGUAAAGCUCUGUUAAUCGGGACGAAAGGCCUUCUUGCGAAUAGUGAGAAGGAUUGACGGUACCGGAAUAGAAAGCCACGGCUAACUACGUG